GCUUACAGGCCAACCUCCCUGAGGCACAGCCCGAUCUCGUCUGAUCGCGGAAGCUAGCAGGGUCGGGCCCGGUUAGUACUUGGAUGGGAGACCGCCUGGGAAUACCAGGUGCUGUAAGCC
RNAcentral lists this ribosomal RNA (120 nucleotides) under Esox lucius (northern pike). Lineage: Eukaryota; Metazoa; Chordata; Actinopteri; Esociformes; Esocidae. The record is from RNAcentral.